RNAcentral lists this ribosomal RNA (1545 nucleotides) under Triticum aestivum (bread wheat). RNAcentral describes it as "partial small subunit ribosomal RNA". The record is from RNAcentral. Lineage: Eukaryota; Viridiplantae; Streptophyta; Magnoliopsida; Poales; Poaceae.
GAGAAUCACAAUAAGUCUUUGAAGAAAAAGAAGGCCAGGGCAUUGGAAGCGAAGCAGAACCAAGAGGCGGAGAAGAUGAGGCAGCUGGAGAGUUCACUGUUUGGGUCGAUCUAUGAGCCACUGAAGUUUGGCACUGAGUUUGGGGCUGCGGUGUCGGAUCAUGACAGGGAUGGUCCUUUGUUCUUCAUAGAUCGGUCUGCUGGUAACAGUGAGGAUGACUUGCCUGUUUAUGAGGAGGACUUCGGCAGUGAAAUUGAUGAAGAUGAGAUGGUCAGUAAGGGGAGGAAGCCUGCGUGGGUAGAUGACGAGGAGGAGAGGACUUAGGUGGACAUCUUAAAGGUUGCAAGAUUGAGGAAGUUGAGAAAGGAGGCUGAUGAGUGUGUGAUCUCGGGCAGAGAGUAUGAAGCUAGGUUGCAUGGUCACCAUGCCAAGUUGAACCCCUUCACUGGCUGGGCAGAUAUGGGCCCUAAGGCUCCUCUCCCUGGGGUUUAUGAUGAUGAAUCCGAUGAGGAUGGCGGAGUCGACAAUAUUCUUCGGAACAACGAUGAGCUUGUUGUCAAGGGUACUGCUAAGCUUUUACCUGGCAUGUUGGACUUCUCAAGGCUUGUUGAUGCUAAUGCGCAGGAGCCAUCUACUGGUCCUAUCAAUUCCGUGCAGUUUCAUAGGAAUGGACAACUGAUGCUUGCUGCUGGCCUGGAUAAACAUCUGAGAUUUUUCCAGAUUGACGGGAAAAGAAAACCCAAGAUCCAGAGCAUAUUUAUCGAGGAUUGUCCGGUUCACAAGGCAUCCUUUCUACCUGAUGGCUCUGAGGUGAUCCUUUUCAGGCAGGAGCAAUUCUUCUACUCAUUUGAUUUGGUGAAAGCUGCUGUUAGUAAGAUUGGACCCUUGACCGGACGUGAGGAGAAAAGCCUGGAAAACUUUGAGAUAUCACCUGACUCAAAAACCAUUGUGUUUGUUGGAAAUGAGGGGUACAUUCUUUUGAUAUCUUCCAAAACAAAGCAGCUCACUGGAACCCUCAAGAUGAACGGAAAUGUGCGUUCAUUGGCUUUUGCGGACGGUGGGAAUCAGCUACUAAGCAGUGGCGGGGAUGGCCAUGUUUACCACUGGGAUCUUAGAACGAGGAAGUGUAUGCACAAGGCUACCGACGAGGGCUCCCUGACAGGCCUUUCUCUCUGCACCUCUCAGGACAGCUCCUAUUUCGCCACAGGCUCCAGCAGCGGCAUCGUGAACGUGUACGGCAGGGACGAAUUCCUCGCCGGGAAGAGGAAGCCGCUGAAGACGAUCGAGAACCUCAUGACCGAGAUCAGUCAGAUGAAGUUCAACCACGACGCCCCGGUUCUGGCGAUAAGCUCGGGGAAGGAGCGGAACGGGAUGAGGCUCGUGCACGUCCCGUCUUUCGCCGUGUUCCAGAACUGGCCAGGGCCUCGGUUCAGCCUCCAGUACCCCCGGUGCCUGGACUUCAGCCCGGGCAGCGGGUUCCUCUCUGUCGGACAUGCUGGCGGAAGAGUUUUGCUGUACAAGCUGCACCACUAUCAGAACGCCUAG